Helianthus annuus (common sunflower) is the source of this 1096-nucleotide long non-coding RNA. RefSeq lists it as uncharacterized. The transcript has 3 exons. The record is from RefSeq and is a predicted model, not a curated record. Lineage: Eukaryota; Viridiplantae; Streptophyta; Magnoliopsida; Asterales; Asteraceae.
CCCUAUGCUCUCCAUUCUUCUUCGAUUACACACACACCCACCCCUGAAUCCCACCUCUUCACCAGCGAUUAGCUGGUGCCGGCCGAAAUUCCCGCCACCGGCGCCCCCUCUCUCCGGCCAUCGCUCACCCACAAUCACCUGCAACUCCUCGAUCACCUGCAAACACCCCCCCUUCAUCUCAUGUCUCCGGCACACAUACACCACACGCACACCCUGGUUUCUUCCGGCAACGAGACGAACAGAGAGAGAGAGAUCGGGGAUCGACACGGAAGACCAGAGUGAGAGAGAGAGAGGAGGAACACGCUGACGUCACUCUGGCGGCCGGAAACGGCGACGAGGCAGAUGACGCCACAUGGAGAUGAUUAUGAUGACGGUGCCGUUGAUGAUACCCUGAUUUCUCCGCUGGUUCAUUGAACCUUGGCAAACGACUCUGUGAUGUUGAGCCUUGGCAACCGGUUGUUCUACAUGUGUUCUUGGUCUGUGAUGUUGUAUACAUGCAGCCAUAAUGGGAUAAAUGGUUGGAGUUAAACAAUCUGAGUCAUUAACCUGAUGUUAGACUAAUAUGUAUGAAUUGGAUUAAGAAAAUAGAGAGGAAAUUGGCUGGUGAUGAUGAUGCGGGAAACCCUCACCUGACCCCUAUUUACGUAGACCUUCACUCUCAUACUUAUUUACGAACUUCUGAAUGUGUAUUGUCUAAGAUUUGUACAACUACUGAAGGUUGGUGUACAAAGCUCUUCAUAGCAUUUGUGUGAAACAUUUAGAGCUUAUUUACACUUUGGCUCCACAGAGAGAACAACUAUGGGUGAAAUUAUGAGAUCUGGUAGAAAGAUGUGUAUACAAAGGAAUGCCAUUAAUGUAUGAAUGACAUGGUAAAAGGUAUUGGGGAGCAUCCAUGGGCUUGUAGGGAUAAUGCAUGUAUUGAUGGACAUGGUUUUAACUGAAGAUGAGUUGAAAGAUAUAAAAAGUAUACUUUUUUACAUGUUUAAGAAUCCUAUUCCCGAGUGGAAGUUAUCCAUCGAGUGAAGGUAGUGAAUCUGUCUGUUUGGUGCAUUUGUUUGUGUUUACCUGUUUUAUAAUAUCCGUUUAUUUGUUUUGA